Molecule: non-coding RNA, 126 nt
Filed under: Targowskia paracuniculus
Lineage: Bacteria; Pseudomonadati; Pseudomonadota; Gammaproteobacteria; Pasteurellales; Pasteurellaceae
Description: Haemophilus paracuniculus Glycine sequence
Rfam family: Glycine riboswitch aptamer
About the family: This family represents the bacterial glycine riboswitch. Glycine riboswitches usually consist of two metabolite-binding aptamers domains with similar structures in tandem.
Source: Rfam by way of RNAcentral
GGACGAACCCUUGGAGAGAUCCACUCUGCGUAAAUUUGCUAAAUCGCAGAAAAUGGACGCCGAAGGCGAAAAUGCAGAUAGCCUUAUCUGCGUGAAACGCUCAGGCAAAAGGACAGGGGAGAAAAG